This is a long non-coding RNA of Scaptodrosophila lebanonensis, 739 nucleotides long. RefSeq lists it as uncharacterized. The transcript has 3 exons. The record is from RefSeq and is a predicted model, not a curated record. Lineage: Eukaryota; Metazoa; Arthropoda; Insecta; Diptera; Drosophilidae.
GUGUGUGUGUCUGUUUCUGUUACAAACGUUUUCUGUUUGUCGUCGAAAAGCCAUUAAAAUAUUUAUCCAUUAAAUAUUAGCGAGUGCAGCAGUGCAUCGAAUUUAAAUUGUGCGUUAAAUUAUUUGGCUAUUUACAGUCCUCGGGAGCAAAAGCGCGCGCGCGCCUUCUUAACAGUGUGCGUGCGAGUGUAUUGUUGUUCUUUUUACCUGUUGCGCCUUUUUUUGGCCAGCAACAAAACAAGUCAAAAAGGAAAAAAAAGAGUGAGCAAAGCUGCAUAGAAAAUCUAACAGAGAAGAGCGCUACAACAAAAGCGACAGAGAGUGAGAGAGAAAAGUUUUUGGAAAAAAAAGUGCAAAAGCUCAAAUUGCUUCUGCAAGUUCAAGUGUUUUUUGUGUUUUGAUAAAAGUGUCAACAAUCUGAAGAAUUAAAUUAAGUUCUCACAUCAAAAACGUAAUUGUUAUAUCAAUAAAGCAAACAGCUACAAUUUCCAGUUAGUGAAUAAUACUUACAAAACAAAACAAAACAAGAGAAAGCAAAUCAAAAAAAGAUACUACGAAUAGGAAGCCAUCCUAGCCAGCCAGCAUUCGGCACAGGCAUAUCAAUGUCGUACAAAAGAAAAUAUUUUGCUGCAACAUCUAUAUAGCACUUCCAUUCCGAGUGAGGAGGAUAAGCGGAUAAGCAACAGCAGUCGGCUGCCUGGGCGAGGGGUGUAGCAAACAAUCCAAAGAUAACCAAAAA